This 667-nucleotide long non-coding RNA is filed under the name Canis lupus familiaris (dog). RNAcentral describes it as "lncRNA (ENSCAFG00000057000.1)". Lineage: Eukaryota; Metazoa; Chordata; Mammalia; Carnivora; Canidae. The record is from RNAcentral.
CAUCUCGGCCCUCUGUUCGAGGGGUUUCCCACUUUCCCUACAAACUGGAACCUCUAGGAACUACUUAGAAGGAGAUGAAACCUUGUUCCAGGUAUUGAAGAGGUGCAGAGAAGACAAGGGAACCCACGGACUCCGUAUAAUUCAUUCAGAUUCGGACAAACUGCCAGGCCAGUGGAUCCACACCUCUUUUUAUUUAUAAUUAACCUUCUGCCUUGACUACUCAUCUUUGGAAUGCUGAUUGUCAUGGAAGCAAUAAUUAUUAUAUUAGUCUUGCUGUGUUCCUGAAGCUGUUCAUGAGCUCUUGCUUGCCUAGGAUUCCAUGUUUUAUAGAGGAAGAGACUGUGGAGUCUGGAAUAGUCUAUGCUCAUGAAGCUGCAAGCGAACUUCCUGGAGUGGCCCUGAAUUAACCUGGGUGUCAGAGACCAUGGACCAGCCCUCUUGGGACUAUGACACUCAUAGCUGUGUGUGACCUCCAACCCUCCAUAAUCAAACCCAACCUUUGAACAAGCAUUGCUUUUUAAUAUUACUUUAACUUGCUAGUCAUUAUUGUGUCUUUUUCUGAAGGCUUUUAAAAGGGUUAUUAAGGAAGGUGGAAGAAAAUGCAAUAAAGGUCAAAGUCUUAAAGUCAUGUUAAGUAAUUGCAAAAAUGAAUAAUAAAAAAAAACCA